This is a long non-coding RNA of Dermacentor albipictus, 1424 nucleotides long. RefSeq lists it as uncharacterized. The record is from RefSeq and is a predicted model, not a curated record. NCBI's taxonomy places the organism in Eukaryota, Metazoa, Arthropoda, Arachnida, Ixodida, Ixodidae.
GGCCGCUGCGCUCUGUGAGAGUGUCCGAACUUGACUGUCUUUCUGUAUGGAUGGUUCUGUGCUUUUGUGUGCGACCAUUCUCGGUGCACUGCACUGUCUAGGGUCGUGCUGGAAGUCGUGCAGGCUUCCUGCUGCUUCUUUUCUUUCUUUGUCGAUACUCAAGUUACAGCAAGUAGUAGCAAAUGCCACGGUCCUGUGACGUCCUAGGGUGCCCGAACGGAUCAAGACGCUUGGCCAAAGGCAGCUCGGCCGCCAACUCCAACGUAAUUUACCACUGGGUGCCGGAGAAGGAACCCCGACAUUCUGAAUGGCUGAGUGCCGUGCCCAUUCGGCACUGUGGACCAAAUGAGUCCAGCAGAAGACUCGUCGUGUGCUCGCUGCAUUUUCGCCCAGUAGACUACGAAGUCAAUGCCUCGCUAAGCAAGUCGCUAGGGCUGGUCCGCAGAGUGCUUUCACGUAGCGCUGUUCCAUCGAUCUUGCCGGACUGCUUUGAUAAGCAAAAGGUGAAGCCGAAGGAUCCAAGCGGCACGGCCACUCUUCCUGGGGCCAGGGAUGUGGAGAACCAAAGUAAAUUUCCAGAGAGCCUUUCAAUGAAAAUUGGCUGCUGCGCCAGACGUGCGAAGCAAGUUCAGUGUUGUCUACUCACCACAAGUGCAAGUAUAGGAGUUCAAGUGAACAGAACUGUAAAGGAGAGCAGAGAGAAAGGAACCCAAGUUGACUUCAGCUUGUACCAGAAAAAAACGGUGUGCAAGUAUCACUGACGUGCAUCUGGAUGGGAGGCCAGCUUCAUCGCAACAUUGUGUGUGACCCAGGUUAUUUGGAGGCAACGUUUGGCAACCAGCAAGUCCUCAAUUGUCUGGGUGUAAAGCAUCGUCAUGAGCCUACUGAGAGUGAACUGCAACUUGGGCAUUCGGAAGCAUGUUUGGAAGACGAUCCUUGAAAGGUUUGUUGAUGCAGACAUCAAGUGGCUGCAACUGGCCCGUCAUGCCACCCGGUAUGUCAGCGAAGUCCGUGUUCGCUUGGGCGAGCGCAGCCUUCACGUCGGUCAAGUGCCCACGGAGUCUCAAAAUGUUGCAGCUGAAGCGGAAGGUGAAACCCCUGCCGAACUGCAGUGUGCAACUGCACGAGGGGAUAAGCAUACCACGACCGCCAUUUGGAAUACCUUCGGCGAGGACCAAGUGUGAUGACUUCGAUAUGAAAGCGUGGCCCAUAGACAAGGUUGAGAAAGCAUUGUCCUGUUCCGCUUGGGCCCGUCUCAUCUCCGAUGCAACCGGCUAGUGCUCCAGGCCAACUUCAGGGAAUAUGCUCCACAGUGGGCAACCCUCUUACCCGCGGGUCACAAGAACAACUCGACAUUCUCACGGCGCUCAGUUUGACUUCCACCUCCGAUGGUGCUCGACACAAUAAAGAAGUUUUUAGCUGUU